This 119-nucleotide ribosomal RNA is filed under the name Pteropus alecto (black flying fox). Lineage: Eukaryota; Metazoa; Chordata; Mammalia; Chiroptera; Pteropodidae. The record is from RNAcentral.
GUCUAUGGCCAUGCCAUCCAGAACAAGCCCAAUCCCGUCCCAUCUCAGAAGCUAAGCAGGGUCGGGCCUGGUUAGUACUUGGAUGGGAGACCACCUAGAAAGACCAGAUACUGUAGGUG